This 522-nucleotide ribosomal RNA is filed under the name uncultured bacterium. RNAcentral describes it as "bacterial SSU rRNA". It matches the Rfam family "Bacterial small subunit ribosomal RNA", at positions 930 to 1450 of the family's 1533-position model. The record is from RNAcentral.
CGGUGGAGCAUGUGGUUUAAUUCGAUGCAACGCGAAGAACCUUACUACCCUUGACAUACAGAAAAGCCUGAAGAGAUUUGGGUGUGCCGUAAUAGGAGUUCUGAUACAGGUGCUGCAUGGCUGUCGUCAGCUCGUGUCGUGAGAUGUUGGGUUAAGUCCCGUAACGAGCGCAACCCUUAUUCUUAGUUACCAGCGCGUAGAGGCGGGGACUCUAAGGAGACUGCCGGUGACAAACCGGAGGAAGGCGGGGACGACGUCAAGUCAUCAUGGCCCUUACGGGUAGGGCUACACACGUGCUACAAUGGCCGGUACAGACGGAGGCGAAGUGGCGACACGGAGCGAAUCCUAGAAAGCCGGUCGUAGUCCGGAUUGAAGUCUGCAACUCGACUUCAUGAAGUCGGAAUCGCUAGUAAUCGCAAAUCAGCAUGUUGCGGUGAAUACGUUCCCGGGCCUUGUACACACCGCCCGUCACACCAUGGGAGUGGGCUGCACCAGAAUUAGAUAGUUUAACCGCAAGGGGGG